GACGAACGCUGGCGGCAUGCCUAACACAUGCAAGUCGAGCGAGUAGAUCCCUUCGGGGUGAAGCUAGCGGCGGACGGGUGAGUAACACGUGGGCAACCUGCCUCAUAGAGGGGAAUAGCCUUCCGAAAGGGAGAUUAAUACCGCAUAAGAUUGUAGCUUCGCAUGAACCAGCAAUUAAAGGAGCAAUCCGCUAUGAGAUGGGCCCGCGGCGCAUUAGCUAGUUGGUGAGGUAACGGCUCACCAAGGCGACGAUGCGUAGCCGACCGGAGAGGGUGAUCGGCCACAUUGGGACUGAGACACGGCCCAGACUCCUACGGGAGGCAGCAGUGGGGAAUAUUGCACAAUGGGGGAAACCCUGAUGCAGCAAUGCCGCGUGAGUGAUGAUGGCCUUCGGGUUGUAAAGCUCUGUCUUCGGGGACGAUAAUGACGGUACCCGAGGAGGAAGCCACGGCUAACUACGUGCCAGCCGCCGCCGUAG
RNAcentral lists this ribosomal RNA (478 nucleotides) under uncultured bacterium. Its description in RNAcentral is "partial 16S ribosomal RNA". It matches the Rfam family "Bacterial small subunit ribosomal RNA", at positions 28 to 523 of the family's 1533-position model. The record is from RNAcentral.